AGCUGGGGACGGAGGAGCCACCCUUGCCAGCGUCCCCCGGGCUGAGGGGGAGUCCGUCACCCCCAAGGAGGACGCCUGAAGCCACAGCGAAGUCGGAGAAACUGAGGAGGGUACCUCCAGAACUUCUCUGGAUUAUGCCCUCUUCUCUUCUCCGUCACUGACCCCAUCCUGGUGAAGCCCUUCAUCACCUUCCAUCUGGACUAUUUCAACAGCUGCCGGAAGUCCACCUCUCCUCCCAAGAGCUGUCAACAUGGUUUUCUAAGGGGUGGGUCUGAUUCUGCCCAUGUGAGGCCCAAUCAGAUUGACGGGAAGAAAGGAGGAGGAGAAGAAAAUUAUUUAUAUGGAGCUUUAAGGUUUGCAAAGCGCUUUGUGGAGAUUUCAUUUGAUCAUCACAUCUGUAAAAAUGGAGAUUUGAACCCCGGACUUCAGUUCCCAGGAGUCCUUGGUAGCUCCCAGAGUUCCUCAUAAUCUGGAGAGAGGGGUUUUUAAACGGACUCUGCUUUCUUCUCGCUCUCUCUUCCUACUUCUGCUUCUGAGCAGGCCUGUCUCUCACGAUGCAGUGAGAGUGAAUGGGCCAUUCGGUCCUCCUAGACACUUGCUUUCUUAUUUUGUAUUUUCUUUAUUUCUUAAUCUUAAUAAACCUCAUAAAAAUAUAA
Long non-coding RNA from Monodelphis domestica (gray short-tailed opossum), 656 nucleotides. RefSeq lists it as uncharacterized. Lineage: Eukaryota; Metazoa; Chordata; Mammalia; Didelphimorphia; Didelphidae. The record is from RefSeq and is a predicted model, not a curated record.